This 459-nucleotide ribosomal RNA is filed under the name Brucecaris tenuis. Its description in RNAcentral is "partial 16S ribosomal RNA". It matches the Rfam family "Bacterial large subunit ribosomal RNA", at positions 1927 to 2597 of the family's 2925-position model. The record is from RNAcentral. Lineage: Eukaryota; Metazoa; Arthropoda; Malacostraca; Decapoda; Palaemonidae.
AGGGCCGCGGUAAUUUGACCGUGCGAAGGUAGCAUAAUCAUUAGUCUCUUAAUUGGAGGCUUGUAUGAACGGCUGGAUGAAGGACAUACUGUCUUUUUUUUUAAAUUGAAUUUAACUUUUAAGUGAAAAGGCUUAAAUUUACUGGGGGGACGAUAAGACCCUAUAAAACUUUAUACAUUUAAUUAUUUUAAAUAAAUCAUAUAUUAAGCGUUAGUAUAAUUAAUUGUAUUUUGCUGGGGCGGCAUUGAUAUAUAAUUAACUGUCUUUUUUAUUGAAUAGGUAUAACUAGGUUAUGAUCCUUCUGUGAAGAUUACAAGUCUAAGUUACUUUAGGGAUAACAGCGUGAUUUUCUUUGAGAGUUCGUAUCGACAAGAAAAGUUGCGACCUCGAUGUUGAAUUAAAAUUUUUAGUUGGGUGCAGCCGCUCAAACUGUUAGGUCUGUUCGACCUUUAAAAUUUU